RNAcentral lists this ribosomal RNA (207 nucleotides) under uncultured Eubacteriales bacterium. RNAcentral describes it as "uncultured Clostridiales bacterium partial 16S ribosomal RNA". It matches the Rfam family "Bacterial small subunit ribosomal RNA", at positions 568 to 774 of the family's 1533-position model. Lineage: Bacteria; Bacillati; Bacillota; Clostridia; Eubacteriales. The record is from RNAcentral.
UGCGUAGGCGGUAAUUUAAGUCAGAUGUGAAAUCCCCGGGCUCAACUCGGGUGUUGCAUUUGAAACUGGGUUACUAGAGUGCAGGAGAGGGAAGCGGAAUUCCUAGUGUAGCGGUGAAAUGCGUAGAUAUUAGGAGGAACACCAGUGGCGAAGGCGGCUUUCUGGACUGUAACUGACGCUGAGGCACGAAAGCGUGGGGAGCAAACA